RNAcentral lists this ribosomal RNA (406 nucleotides) under uncultured bacterium. RNAcentral's name for it is "partial 16S ribosomal RNA". It matches the Rfam family "Bacterial small subunit ribosomal RNA", at positions 30 to 526 of the family's 1533-position model. The record is from RNAcentral.
AUUGAACGCUGGCGGCAUGCCUAACACAUGCAAGUCGAACGAGUGGCGGACGGGUGAGUAGUGUCUGGACAACUGCCUGAUGGAGGGGGCUAACUGCUGGAACCGGUAGCUAAUACCGCAUACCAUCGGAUGUGCCCAGGUGGGAUUAGCUAGUAGGUGGGGUAACGCCUCACCUAGGCGACGAUCCCUAGCUGGUCUGAGAGGGUGACCAGCCACACUGGAACUGAGACACGGCCCAGACUCCUACGGGAGGCAGCAGUGGGGAAUAUUGCACAAUGGGCGAAAGCCUGAUACAGCAAUGCCGCGUGUGUGAAGAAGGCCUUCGGGUUGUAAAGUACUUUUAGCGGGGAGGCGGUACCCAAAGAGGAAGCACCGGCUAACUACGUGCCAGCCGCCGCGGUAAUAC